AUUGAACGCUGGCGGCACGCCUAACACAUGCAAGUCGAGCGGCAGCGAGAGUAGUAGCAAUACUACUUGUCGGCGAGCGGCGGACGGGUGAGGAACACGUAGGAAUCUACCCAGAAGAGGGGGAUAACCAAGGGAAACUUUGGCUAAUACCGCAUAAUCUCGAGAGAGAAAAGCUGCCCGCAAGGGUGGCGCUUUUGGAGGAGCCUGCGUCCGAUUAGCUAGUUGGUAGGGUAAAGGCCUACCAAGGCGAUGAUCGUCAACUUGUCUGAGAGGACGACCAGUAACACUGGGAAUGCGACACGGCCCAGAAUCCUACGGGAGGCAGCAGUGGGGAAUAUUGGACAAUGGGGGCAACCCUGAUCCAGCGAUGCCGCGUGAGUGAAGAAGGCCUUCGGGUCGUAAAGCUCUUUAGGUUGGGAAGAAGGUUGUAGGGGUAAUAUCCUUGCAAUUUGACGGUACCGACAGAAUAAGCACCGGCAAACUCUGUGCCAGCAGCCGCGGUAA
This 504-nucleotide ribosomal RNA is filed under the name uncultured bacterium. RNAcentral describes it as "partial 16S ribosomal RNA". It matches the Rfam family "Bacterial small subunit ribosomal RNA", at positions 30 to 523 of the family's 1533-position model. The record is from RNAcentral.